RNAcentral lists this ribosomal RNA (417 nucleotides) under uncultured bacterium. RNAcentral's name for it is "bacterial SSU rRNA". It matches the Rfam family "Bacterial small subunit ribosomal RNA", at positions 122 to 518 of the family's 1533-position model. The record is from RNAcentral.
UAACCUGUCUUCAUGUCUGGAAUAAUACGCCGAAAGGGGUACGUAAUACCGGAUAUUCUUGCUUUUCAUAAGUUAUGCAAGCAAAGGUGGCCUCUGCAUAUGCUACUGCAUGAAGAGGGGUCUGCGUACCAUUAGCUAGUAGGUGGGGUAAUGGCCUACCUAGGCGACGAUGGUUAGCGGGUCUGAGAGGAUGAUCCGCCACACUGGCACUGGAACACGGGCCAGACUCCUACGGGAGGCAGCAGUGAGGAAUAUUGCGCAAUGGGGGAAACCCUGACGCAGCGACGCCGCGUGAGUGAGGAAGGCCUUCGGGUCGUAAAGCUCUGUCAAGAGGAAAGAAGUGUACAAUGGCUAAUACCUGUUGUAUUUGACGGUACCUCUAAAGGAAGCACCGGCUAACUCCGUGCCAGCCGCGGC